Molecule: long non-coding RNA, 293 nt
Organism: Salvia splendens (bonfire salvia)
Lineage: Eukaryota; Viridiplantae; Streptophyta; Magnoliopsida; Lamiales; Lamiaceae
Exons: 3
Source: RefSeq, a predicted model, not a curated record
UUUUGAAAUGAAAUCGUUGAACACAUGUAAAACAAUUGAUGUCCGUGUAAAGCUUGGGGUGGACAUUCCAGUAGGACGGACCCGAGAUUGUCGUUCGUGAUUGAGGAAACGACUGGUUGGGGGUGGGCAAUCCUGUAGGCCGGACCCAAGAUUGUUGCUCGUAAUUGAGGAAACGACUGAAGUGUGAUGCCAAGAAGACUAUUGCAAAGAGGAAUGUCAAGGCCAGGCGCACAGUUGCAUAUGAAGGGAAAAAACUGAUGCAUUGUUGGCAAAAGUCAAAACAAGAAAUUAAU